Pyrus x bretschneideri (Chinese white pear) is the source of this 1007-nucleotide long non-coding RNA. RefSeq lists it as uncharacterized. NCBI's taxonomy places the organism in Eukaryota, Viridiplantae, Streptophyta, Magnoliopsida, Rosales, Rosaceae. The record is from RefSeq and is a predicted model, not a curated record. The transcript is spliced from 9 exons.
AGACAAUCUGCCUCCCUGAUUCAAUAGGUUAUGCACUGUUUGAAAAUAAUUGUUUAUUGUUUUGUUUUCCGUUUGCUUAACCAUCAUUCGAAUUUUUGGGUUUCACUGUGCUUCUUCAAAAUUUUCUGGUGAACUAUAUGCACAGUUUUUUGGGACGAGUUAGGAAGAUCCACCUGAAAACUGCAUACAAGAUAGAGAACUGUCCGAGUCACCGAGCUUCAGCGCAUCAUUCACGACCUCCGAGCGGAAACGCUUCUCCCAAGCCCUCCAGGUUUCAGAGUGGAUGAAUCAGAAGGGGAUAUGCAUAUUUUCGCCGGUUGAGCAUGCCGUGCAGCUGGAUUUGAUUGGGAAGGAAGAAUUUUGCACCAAUUGCUGUGAAAUAAAGCCAGUUUGAGUCUGUGGGUCGACAUUGUUGCAUCAUGGAGCAUGUGAUUGCUGGGAAGUUUAAGCUGGGGAGGAAGAUUGGGAGUGGGUCUUUCGGAGAAGUCUAUUUAGGUGUAAAUGUACACAGUGGGGAGGAGGUGGCUGUUAAGCUGGGCAUUUUGCGUUUGAAGGAUUUGAAACUGCUGUAAGCUAAAUGGGUGUGAAACAAGAUGGUGGCACUAUUGACACUGUGCCUGCAAUGGAACAGGGAAUGAGAAAAAAAAAUGGGCAGUACCUUAAUUUGCUGGAGAAGAUUUCUGAUGAGUUAGAUAAGAGAGUGAAGAAGUUUCUUAAGAGGAGCAGAAGCAAAUUUGGAGGGCUUGAAAGAUAAGAAAUUGAAGGGUCAACUUGCUGUUAGAGAAGAAUUGUAUGGAAAAUCUGCACAAGCUGCUGCCAAGGCUGAGAAGGCGCCUUAUCUUCAUAUGAAACCACCAUUUUCAAUUUUUUGGUAAUGUUAGCAGGUGCUUCUCGAAUUCUCUCUCUCUCUCUCUCUCUCUCUCUCUCUCUCAUUUACCAUCUUAUGAUUCAUAGCGGUUGCGGAUUAUAGCAGCACUGUGUUUUGAUUUGUAAACAAACUGUAUAAU